This 253-nucleotide ribosomal RNA is filed under the name uncultured bacterium. Its description in RNAcentral is "partial 16S ribosomal RNA". It matches the Rfam family "Bacterial small subunit ribosomal RNA", at positions 524 to 776 of the family's 1533-position model. The record is from RNAcentral.
UACGUAGGGUGCGAGCGUUAAUCGGAAUUACUGGGCGUAAAGCGUGCGCAGGCGGUCCGCAAAGUCUGAUGUGAAAGCCCCGGGCUCAACCUGGGAACUGCAUUGGAAACUAACGGGCUCGAGUGUGGCAGAGGGGGGUGGAAUUCCACGUGUAGCAGUGAAAUGCGUAGAGAUGUGGAGGAACACCGAUGGCGAAGGCAGCCCCCUGGGCUAACACUGACGCUGAGAAGCGAAAGCAUGGGGAGCGAACAGG